RNAcentral lists this ribosomal RNA (505 nucleotides) under uncultured bacterium. Its description in RNAcentral is "partial 16S ribosomal RNA". It matches the Rfam family "Bacterial small subunit ribosomal RNA", at positions 28 to 507 of the family's 1533-position model. The record is from RNAcentral.
GACGAACGCUGGCGGCGUGCCUAAUACAUGCAAGUAGAACGCACAGUUUAUACCGUAGCUUGCUACACCAUAGACUGUGGGUUGCGAACGGGUGAGUAACGCGUAGGUAACCUGCCUGGUAGCGGGGGAUAACUAUUGGAAACGAUAGCUAAUACCGCAUAAUAUUAAUUAUUGCAUGAUAAUUAAUUGAAAGGUGCAAUUGCACCACUACCAGAUGGACCUGCGUUGUAUUAGCUAGUAGGUGAGGUAACGGCUCACCUAGGCGACGAUACAUAGCCGACCUGAGAGGGUGAUCGGCCACACUGGGACUGAGACACGGCCCAGACUCCUACGGGAGGCAGCAGUAGGGAAUCUUCGGCAAUGGACGAAAGUCUGACCGAGCAACGCCGCGUGAGUGAAGAAGGUUUUCGGAUCGUAAAGCUCUGUUGUAAGAGAAGAACGGGUGUGAGAGUGGAAAGUUCACACCGUGACGGUAUCUUACCAGAAAGGGACGGCUAACUACGUG